AGAGGUGAGGAAGAAAAGUGUCUGAAUGUAUUUGUCGGGUUGGAGAAUAUUCUAAACCCUGGAGAACUAAGCCUUGUAUUUGAAGAUGUAAAUAAUCUGCAAACUAUGAAAGAGCAAAUACAUUUUACAACAAAAUGUAUUUUCAUAACAACUCAUAAAGUGUCUGUUGCCAGUGAAAUGAUAAAACUAGGAUUUUCUCCUAAAUAUAUUUUUGUUCUACAACCUGAGAAUUCAUUGACAUCAGAUUCUCCAGGAAAAUAUCUUUUCUACAGAAGCUGUAAAAUAA
Long non-coding RNA from Eurytemora carolleeae, 286 nucleotides. RefSeq lists it as uncharacterized. Lineage: Eukaryota; Metazoa; Arthropoda; Copepoda; Calanoida; Temoridae. The record is from RefSeq and is a predicted model, not a curated record. The transcript is spliced from 3 exons.